UACAGAGGGGGCAAUCGUUAUUCGGAAUUAUUGGGCGUAAAGGGCGCGUAGGCGGCUUGGCAAGUGGAAGGUGAAAUCCCUCGGCUUAACCGAGGAACUGCCCUCCAAGCUGCUUUGCUUGAGGCCGGGAGAGGCGAGUGGAAUUCCCAGUGUAGCGGUGAAAUGCGUAGAUAUUGGGAGGAACACCAGUGGCGAAGGCGGCUCGCUGGACCGGUUCUGACGCUGAUGCGCGAAAGCGUGGGGAGCAAACGGG
RNAcentral lists this ribosomal RNA (253 nucleotides) under uncultured bacterium. RNAcentral describes it as "partial 16S ribosomal RNA". It matches the Rfam family "Bacterial small subunit ribosomal RNA", at positions 524 to 776 of the family's 1533-position model. The record is from RNAcentral.